This 32-nucleotide non-coding RNA is filed under the name Homo sapiens (human). The record is from RNAcentral. Lineage: Eukaryota; Metazoa; Chordata; Mammalia; Primates; Hominidae.
UCCAGGCACAGCUUUUGCCUUUUGCAGCCUGA